UCUUGCAGUGUCCCUUCUUCACAGAGACCUCUGUGUGUCUGUCUGCAACGGAUCUCACCCGAUAUUCCUCCUCCCCACCUUCCCUCCACUCCCUCUCUCUCUCUCUCUAAACUCUCAAGUUACUAUUUUUACUCCACUCUCUCUCUCUCUCUGGGACUAUUGUUUUCUUUCAAAUAAGGCCUCGUGAAGUGCAUGUGAAGCUUGGUGAAAGAUCCGGGACUUUGCUUUGCCUUUCUGAUUCAGGUGAUUGAAGUGUUUGCCUUCUUGCUUUUUGCUCCUUCUCCUCUUUCUCUUUUGUUCCCUUUAUGUGAUGUUACAUCAAGUUCAUUUUCUAUCUCACGGCCAUUUCUAAUUCUCCCCCGUUAUGUCAAAAUCCGUAAUCUCUUAAGGGUUUCAGAGCAAAAGAAUGAUUGCUGCUGAGAUUUGGAAACGUGGGUUUUUUAGUUUCUUCUGUUCUGAGUUUUGCAUGUUGAAAGCUCAAAGUUAGGUUUGUCCUAUGUGAUUUCAUGCAUUGGAGCUCAGCUGCCGCGUGGUGUUUUGUUUUGGCUAGUGCUGCUUCUUGUGGUCCGGCAUUUGGGUUGGUGCUUUAAAGCUUGAACUUUUUGAGCUUGAAUUCAUUGGUUGAAGGGAUUUCGUUGCUUUCUCUCUGGUUUUGUUGUGGGUUUAAUUUCAUGCCUUUGAGUGAGAAAUGAUUCGCUUUGAACUCUUUGUUGUACUCGGAGGAAAGUUUGGAUUAUUUCUGGAGAUGGGGUUACUGGACUUGACAAUAGGUGCUGGGCGACCUCUAAUUGCUUGAAUUCGGGCAUUGUCGCGUGCUUUGCUGUGCCAUCAGUAUAUCGUUGGUGGGUGUUAAGGAUUUUGUUGCUUUUGUAAUGCCAUAAUUGCGAAGAUUGGAAACGUUUCUUUAACAAGAAAUGCCAUAUACUUUAACUCGUUUCCUUACUUCUAAAGUGAUUCUUCUAUUGGAUGCAUUACUGUUCUGAACAUGACCAGAGCUGUCCGGGAUAGGAUUCUUAAGGAUGCGAAUGGUGAUAUUAGUGAUCAUCUACGCAACCACAUCCAUUUGACGAAUUGUAUUCACCUAAAGAACCAUAUGCAUAAGCAUAGCCCCAUAUUAGCUGAUAGGUCCAUUAUGAGGGACCUUGUCGUCCUUCAGAGGUCAAGAUCUCUCAGGGACCCUUCUGCAAGUCCUCCCUCAUGGCAUUCACCUUCCAUUGUUGAUCUACUCCAAAAUAAGGUUGAAAAUGACAUGCUUCGGGAGGGGAGAAGUUCAAUAGGCAUUGAGCCUAGGAGGAAAGCUAGGAGAGUGUUGGGAAGCACACAACCCUCAGCAAAUUUAGCCACAUCAAAAGUUGCUCUUGGUGAGGUUGGUGGGGUUAAUGAUGGCAUAGCAGCAGUCAGUGAACAAAGUAGCAAGAGUGGAGUUGGGAACAGUAGAAGAGUUGGGAGAGAGGAAUCUGCCCGGAAGAGUUAUAGGAGUGACAUUUUGGGUGGCAAUGAGAAGCCUCCACUUGAUCAAGGUGGUAAUGAUUUGACUCAUGAUGUUGUGUCGGGGAACUCUGAAUCUAAAGGUAGAAGGAGUAAACAAAGGGGAAAGCAUAUUGGAAAUGUUCCAUUAAAGACCCUUUCUGAGCAGUUGAAUGACGUUCAAAUGGAUAGUGAUGAUGUAGCAUCUUCUAACAUCCGUCUUCGUGGAGAACAUUCACGACCAGAAAAAACUGUUGGGGAGCCACAAGCCAGCAUUCCUGGGUACUGCAGUGGGUUAAGUAGAGUUAAAAGGCGCAAGUUUCACGGCACUAGAAGAACUCGAGCUACUACAUCUUCAAGAGAUAUUGGAGCUCAGAAUGAAUUGUCUGUGGCAUCUAAUACGUUAGCUCAGGGAUCAAGCAAUCCCAAGUCUUACAUGGAAGAAAGGGAAGAAGAAUUUGUUGAUACAAAUGUCACUAGGGCUCCAAGAAAUGGGUGUGGGAUUCCUUGGAAUUGGUCAAUAAUUCAUCACAGAGGUAAAGAUAUUCUUGACAUGGCUGGAAGAAGUUUUUCUUGUGGUUUGUCAGACUCAAGGUUAAAGAAAGGAGGUUCAACUGCCCAUGGGAGAGAAAUGUCUGACAUGCCAAUGCCAUCGGACUACUCAACCUCAUCCGCAAGAUCCGAUGCAGAUGCAGUGCCUCUGCUAGUUGAGGCAUCUGGAUCCCAGGAAAGCACUGAACGUGCUGGUUGGAUCCGUGACUAUUCUGGAGAGCUUGGAAUUUUUUCUGAUAAUUUAUACAAGCAUGAUGCUGAUUCUGACCUUGUCUCUGAAGCUCGUUCUCGUGAUCAACGAAAAUUGAGAGGCUAUCGCAACAGUCAACACAAGAGCCUGACACAAAAGUACAUGCCGAGAACCUUCAGGGAUCUGGUGGGACAGAAUUUGGUUGCACAAGCUCUUUCAAAUGCUGUAACGAAAAGGAAGGUUGGGUUGCUAUAUGUGUUUUAUGGACCUCAUGGCACUGGUAAAACCUCCUGUGCCCAUAUAUUUGCUAGAGCUUUGAAUUGUCAGUCUUCAGAACAUCCUAAACCUUGUGGACUUUGCAAUUCAUGCAUUGCACAUGACAUGGGUAGGAGUAGAAACAUAAGGGAAGUUGGUCCAGUCAGUAAUUUUGACUUUGAGAGGAUUAUGGAUUUACUGGACAAUAUGAUUGUUUCCCAGCUGCGAUCACAGUUUAGAGUUUUUAUCUUUGAUGACUGUGAUACUUUGUCCCCUGAUUGCUGGAGUGCCAUUUCAAAGGUCAUUGAUCGAGCUCCCAGACGUGUGGUUUUUGUCCUCGUCAGUUCAAGUCUUGAUGUUUUGCCUCAUAUAAUCAUAUCCAGAUGCCAGAAAUUCUUUUUCCCAAAGUUGAAGGAUGCAGAUAUUAUCUAUACUUUGCAGUGGAUUGCAACCAAAGAAGAUUUGGAAAUUGAUAAGGAUGCACUAAAACUCAUUGCAUCAAGAUCUGAUGGAUCAUUGAGGGAUGCUGAGAUGACACUUGAGCAAUUGAGUUUGCUUGGGCAGAGAAUAUCUGUUCCUCUGGUUCAGGAACUGGUUGGGCUUAUCUCAGAUGAGAAAUUGGUUGAUCUUCUUGAUUUAGCACUAUCUGCCGACACAGUUAAUACAGUGAAGAAUUUGAGAGUAAUAAUGGAAACUGGUGUGGAGCCAUUAGCUUUGAUGUCACAGCUUGCUACAGUCAUUACUGAUAUACUUGCUGGUAGUUACGACUUCAAGAAAGAAAGGUUUAGAAGGAAGUUCUUUCGGCGACAACCCUUAUCCAAAGAGGAUAUGGAAAAACUGCGUCAAGCUUUGAAAACUCUAUCUGAGGCUGAAAAACAGCUAAGGAUGUCAAAUGACAAAUUAACAUGGCUAACAGCUGCAUUGCUUCAACUUGCUCCUGAUCAGCAGUACAUGCUGCCUACUUCUUCAGACACUAGUUUUAAUCACAGUCCCAUGGCCCUGGAUAAUGUGGGUGGAAGAGAUUCAGCCACGGGAAUGGGUGAGUUUUCCGAGGUGUCCAAUAAGGAGAGAGGCUUGUCAACAAAUGUGAGGGUAGAAAAUCUCCAUGCUGGAAGUUCUGCUGAUAUCUAUCAAAAUGGUACGCUUCAGGGUAUUAGUUUAGAGAGAAAAAGAUAUGUCGGGACUGGUAUAGCUCAUCAACAGACAUCUGCACGUGCCGCUGACAUGACUGGGAUAACUGGCGGGCAGAUUUCUUGUAAAAGCCAUAGAGGAAUUGAAGACAUCUGGUUGGAGGUGCUUGAAAAAAUCCAAAUCAAUGGCGUAAAGGAGUUUUUGUAUCAAGAAGGGAAGCUGAUCUCAGUCAGUUUUGGUGCAGCCCCAACUGUGCAGAUGAUGUUCAGUUCACACCAGGCAAAAUCUAGGGCUGAGAAAUAUAGGCGGCACAUCUUAGAAGCAUUUGAGAAUGUUCUUGGGUCCCGAGUGACAAUUGAAAUAAGAUGUGAAUUAAACAAAGAUUCAGGAUCAGGUGUGCAUGUGCCUCUUAUGUUGCCAGCUUCCAAAGGUGGUUCAUCUCAAAUUAGAGAUAUAAAUGGGGUCAGCAUUCAAGCUCAGCUCUUACAGUCUGACAAUCCUCAAAUGGGGAGGAGUGAAAUUGUCGAAGUAGCAGCUUCUCCUAGAGAACCCAGGGAUAAUGAACACACAGAUAAUCAUGCAGUAUCUGGUAAAAGAGGUUUGGGAGGUUCAUGGGUGGGAGAAAGGCCUGCUUCUUCUAUGAAAUCAACCAUGGAUUCACUCCCUCAAAGGAGAAAGAUUGGGGAACAAAUUCAGAGCCAGAGCCUUGUUAGAAGCAAGGUGUCUCUGGCCCACGUACUUCAGCAGGCAGAAGGAUGUACCCAGCGAAAUGGAUGGUCAAAACGCAGAGCAGUUUCCAUUGCUGAAAAGCUUGAACAAGAGAAUUUGAGACUGGAACCUAGAUCAAGAAGCUUACUUUGCUGGAGAGCAACAAGAGUAACUCGUCGGAAGCUUUCACGUUUGAAAAUCAGGACACGAAAGCCACAUUCAUUGCUGAAGCUUGUUUCCUGUGGAAAGUGUCUCUCAACUAAGUCUCCGAGAUGAUACAAAGAACAGAAUUUUGGAUGGCUUGGAAGGAUAGAUCGUGCCACCUCAUUUGCAUUAUUAAUGUGUAGAGAGGUUCCUACUGUUUACUAGUCAAUUGAAGCCUUGCAUGAUUGGUUGCGGUUUUGAUUGUUAUUCAUUUUAGACACUUGCGCUCAAAUUGGCCUGUGCAAGGCAUUGGCAUAGGAAAUGCAGAAGAAAUUGUAACUGUAUAACUAUCUGCAGUUGCAAUUUUUCUACCUUGCCUGACUGCUGGAAAUUGUAAAUAACCUGUGAUGUGAGGGCAUUACACGGGUCCAGGGUUUAACCUAGUAAAAGACAUGUAUUUGCACAGCCUCUGGAGUUUCUCGUCUUAGAAAAGAAGUACAAAACUGCAUUGUAAUAAAUUAUACACUCGAUACUGCAACAUUCAUUAUGCCCAACUUGUUACGAAGGUUCGAAAAUGGCACGCUUUUGUUUAAAUCCCUUGACAUCUCCUCGCAAAUAACUCGAC
RNA transcript from Juglans regia (Persian walnut), 5072 nucleotides. It is a transcript of the gene named protein STICHEL-like 3, with no coding region annotated. The record is from RefSeq and is a predicted model, not a curated record. The transcript is spliced from 7 exons. NCBI's taxonomy places the organism in Eukaryota, Viridiplantae, Streptophyta, Magnoliopsida, Fagales, Juglandaceae.